Long non-coding RNA from Vidua macroura (Pin-tailed whydah), 1727 nucleotides. RefSeq lists it as uncharacterized. The transcript has 5 exons. The record is from RefSeq and is a predicted model, not a curated record. NCBI's taxonomy places the organism in Eukaryota, Metazoa, Chordata, Aves, Passeriformes, Viduidae.
GUGAAAAAGGAGGCUAGAAAUAUCCACGUCUGCUCCUCUUGGAAGGCAACCCUGGCGCUUGCUCCGAACACCCCCCCAGCCCGCCUGUGCGCGGGGAUAAUUAAUCCAUUACGGGAUGGAUCCUGCCGUGCUGCCGUAAAAAAGAGAUCUAUUUCUCCUCUGCUUUCCCCUCCUCCCCGAAGAGACAUCUGAAACGGAUCAUGUAAUAAACGUUUCUUGGAUGGAAGGAGAGGUAUUGUUCUCUUGCCGUGGAAACAAUCCCGGCAGUGGGGCCAGCCAGGAGGGAGCGGGGCCGGAUACUUCACUCGGCAGCUCUUAUGACAUCCUGUAUGGCAGGGCGGCCUCCGGGGGACACGUUUUGUGAUGUGCCCUCUGCAAACAGCGCUCAGGAGGGCAGGGUGAGCUGGUUCUGACCAAGGGGGACAAGCCCAGGCUGCCAAGUCUGUGGGGGCUGGAGGUGGCUUCCCUCUGUGGAGACAUCCAGGCACUGCCUGGCAGGCAACGGGACACUCUGGAGACAGGGAGGUGGCCCAGAGUCCAUCACGACACACCCAAAGGAACACCUCUGACCACACCCUUCCAACCCUGCAUCCAUCCCUCUCCAUCAGCCCAGGCUGGGAGCAGCUGCCUUGCACAGCUCCAGGCAGAGAUCAGCCUUUACACAGGCACCUCUCCUUCGGUUUGACGCUUCCUUUUUGCCCAAGGGACCUGGAAACAAGCUGCACUGGACUCACAGUGUCCAGCUUGAAUAGAACAGAUCCUCCUUCACCAAGUGUUUUUCAUUCCUGGCCAGCCAUGCUCGCUAUCCAAGGGAGGAGCUGCUGACAUUUAUUCCUGAAUUGCCACAUUGCAGGAGCUUUGGCUAACACUUCUGUUACAUGGGAAGAGAGAAGGGACCUUGUUACUUGAGUUUCUGGUCAGUACUUGGAACUGUGAAAACCCCCCUGGGCUCUGCUGUACAACAGCAAAAGCUUUUUCCACUGCAUCAGCAGCAUUUCAAAAUCCUGUGAGCUGAUCUUAGGGCAGCAAAGUGACUUCUCUGUCUAUCAAAGACACAAGGAUGUCACGACACCUGUGUGUUUUCAUCACAACACCCCUCAAACGGACAUCCAGACUACAGGGGUUAAAAUCACCUUUCCUCAGAGAGGAGACACAAAGUGAUCCACUUCCAGGACAAAAGUUGUCAGAGCCACCCAAAGCAGCUCUUGACAGCCCGAGCCUUCCCCAGGGCCAGACCAGAGCAUCUGUCCCAGCUGGGCUCAGGGUGACCAAGCUGGAUGGAAGGGACAACAUCAACCUUGCAGCUUCCCUUCCCUCUGCUGACCAGGGACAGGACCCCAGGGAACAGCUGGAGCUGUGUCAGCUGGAAUUCUAAAUCAACAUACAAACAGAGAUCCACCCUGCCAAGAACCAGGACUCCUUCUCUGGGCAAAGAGGAACAGCAGGGCCGAGCUCCCCUCUCCAAGCACUGCCCACUGGGAGCAGCCUGCUCCUCCUCUGCCUCACCAAGGGACAGACCUGAGCAGGGAUGUUGAUGGAAAUCCCUCCUCACAACAGCAAGGGCAGGUUUAAAGUGAUUGGAUUAAACUGCAUUAACCUCUGUGUGGACACAGUCACUCCAGAUUUAAGUGGCCAUUGCUCAGUUUAACAGGAGCCACUUCAAUGUGACCUAAUUCACCACCUGAGUAAAUAAGGCAAACCAAAUAAAGGUCAAUGACUGUGAAGAA